Molecule: ribosomal RNA, 1900 nt
Filed under: Enterobacter roggenkampii
Lineage: Bacteria; Pseudomonadati; Pseudomonadota; Gammaproteobacteria; Enterobacterales; Enterobacteriaceae
Description: partial 23S ribosomal RNA
Rfam family: Bacterial large subunit ribosomal RNA
Source: RNAcentral
GGUUAAGUGAAUAAGGGCGCACGGUGGAUGCCUUGGCACUAGGAGCCGAUGAAGGACGGGACUAACACCGAUAUGCUUUGGGGAGCUGUAAGUAAGCUAUGAUCCAGAGAUUUCCGAAUGGGGGAACCCAAUAUCUUUUAUAGGAUAUUACUUUUCAGUGAAUACAUAGCUGAUUAGAGGUAGACGCAGAGAACUGAAACAUCUUAGUACCUGCAGGAAGAGAAAGAAAAUUCGAUUCCCUGAGUAGCGGCGAGCGAAACGGGAAGAGCCCAAACCAACAAGCUUGCUUGUUGGGGUUGUAGGACUCCAAUAUGGUAGUCUGUUAGUAUAGUUGAAGGAUUUGGAAAAUUCCGCUAAAGAGGGUGAAAGCCCCGUAGACGAAAUGCUGACAACACCUAGGAGGAUCCUGAGUACGGCGGAACACGAGAAAUUCCGUCGGAAUCCGCGGGGACCAUCCCGCAAGGCUAAAUACUCCCUAGUGACCGAUAGUGAACCAGUACCGUGAGGGAAAGGUGAAAAGCACCCCGGAAGGGGAGUGAAAUAGAUCCUGAAACCGUGUGCCUACAACAAGUCAAAGCUCGUUAAUGAGUGAUGGCGUGCCUUUUGUAGAAUGAACCGGCGAGUUACGAUUGCAUGCGAGGUUAAGUCGAAGAGACGGAGCCGCAGCGAAAGCGAGUCUGAAUAGGGCGAAUGAGUAUGUAGUCGUAGACCCGAAACCAUGUGAUCUACCCAUGUCCAGGUUGAAGGUGCGGUAAAACGCACUGGAGGACCGAACCCACGUACGUUGAAAAGUGCGGGGAUGAGGUGUGGGUAGCGGAGAAAUUCCAAACGAACUUGGAGAUAGCUGGUUCUCUCCGAAAUAGCUUUAGGGCUAGCCUCGGAAUUGAGAAUGAUGGAGGUAUCCGUAGUCGAAAGGGAAACAGCCCAGACCACCAGCUAAGGUCCCAAAAUAUAUGUUAAGUGGAAAAGGAUGUGGGGUUGCACAGACAACUAGGAUGUUGGCUUAGAAGCAGCCACCAUUUAAAGAGUGCGUAAUAGCUCACUAGUCGAGUGACCCUGCGCCGAAAAUGUACCGGGGCUAAACAUAUUACCGAAGCUGUGGACUACACCAUUAAGGUGUAGUGGUAGGAGAGCGUUCUAAGGGCGUUGAAGGUCGAUCGUGAGGACGGCUGGAGCGCUUAGAAGUGAGAAUGCCGGUAUGAGUAGCGAAAGACAGGUGAGAAUCCUGUCCACCGUAUGACUAAGGUUUCCUGGGGAAGGCUCGUCCGCCCAGGGUUAGUCGGGACCUAAGCCGAGGCCGAUAGGCGUAGGCGAUGGACAACAGGUUGAUAUUCCUGUACCAGUUGUUUUUGUUUGAGCAAUGGAGGGACGCAGUAGGCUAAGGAAUGCAUGCGAUUGGAAGUGCAUGUCCAAGCAAUGAGUCUUGAGUAGAGUUAAAUGCUUUACUCUUUAAGGACAAGUUGUGACGGGGAGCGAAAUAAUAGUAGCGAAGUUCCUGAUGUCACACUGCCAAGAAAAGCUUCUAGUGAGAAAACAACUGCCCGUACCGUAAACCGACACAGGUAGUCGAGGAGAGUAUCCUAAGGUGAGCGAGCGAACUCUCGUUAAGGAACUCGGCAAAAUGACCCCGUAACUUCGGGAGAAGGGGUGCUGACUUCGGUCAGCCGCAGUGAAUAGGCCCAAGCGACUGUUUAUCAAAAACACAGGUCUCUGCAAAAUCGUAAGAUGAAGUAUAGGGGCUGACGCCUGCCCGGUGCUGGAAGGUUAAGAGGAUGGGUUAGCUUCGGCGAAGCUCAGAAUUGAAGCCCCAGUAAACGGCGGCCGUAACUAUAACGGUCCUAAGGUAGCGAAAUUCCUUGUCGGGUAAGUUCCGACCCGCACGAAAGGCGUAACGAUUUGG